AUUGAACGCUGGCGGAAUGCUUUACACAUGCAAGUCGAACGGUAGAGGGGGCAACCCCUCGAGAGUGGCGAACGGGUGAGUAAUAUAUCGGAACGUGCCCAGUCGUGGGGGCUAACGUAGCGAAAGUUACGCUAAUACCGCAUACGAUCUAAGGAUGCAAGCGGGGGAUCGCAAGACCUCGCGCGAUUAGAGCGGCCGAUAUCAGAUUAGGUAGUUGGUGGGGUAAAGGCUCACCAAGCCAACGAUCUGUAGCUGGUCUGAGAGGACGACCAGCCACACUGGAACUGAGACACGGUCCAGACUCCUACGGGAGGCAGCAGUGGGGAAUUUUGGACAAUGGACGCAAGUCUGAUCCAGCCAUUCCGCGUGCAGGAUGAAGGCCCUCGGGUUGUAAACUGCUUUUGUACGGAACGAAAAGGUCUCUCUUAAUACGGGGGGCUCAUGACGGUACCGUAAGAAUAAGCACCGGCUAACUACGUGCCAGCCGCCGCAGUAA
This 496-nucleotide ribosomal RNA is filed under the name uncultured bacterium. RNAcentral's name for it is "partial 16S ribosomal RNA". It matches the Rfam family "Bacterial small subunit ribosomal RNA", at positions 30 to 523 of the family's 1533-position model. The record is from RNAcentral.